AUGGAAAGAAGUGAUUUUUGGUCCGGAGGAAAGAACAGGGGAGCUGCGCGGGGGAGAGCACCGGGAGGAGGCUCGGGGGAGCUGCAUGGCGCGGCGGCGUGGCCUGGCCGGCGAGCAGGCAGAGAGAAAAUGGAGAUGGAGCAGAGUGUGGUGUCGGAGGGGAUUCGAGGAGUGCAGGUUAUGUCGGACAAUUGUGGAGGGAGUUUUCAGAAAAAUGCCAUUGCGGCAAGUAUUUGGAACCGGAGGGAGUAUCAAACUCGCAAUGUAGUACUCCCUCAAACUAAUCUCUACGAAGCUUAUGUUGAAAGAUUGUCAUGUGUACUUAUCAAAUCACUGUCAUGUUGUGCUUGCUCAGUGACAUGCAUUGCCCAAUUUGUUUAUAUCAACAUCAAUUAG
RNAcentral lists this ribosomal RNA (396 nucleotides) under Triticum aestivum (bread wheat). RNAcentral's name for it is "partial small subunit ribosomal RNA". The record is from RNAcentral. Lineage: Eukaryota; Viridiplantae; Streptophyta; Magnoliopsida; Poales; Poaceae.